GAGGGUAUAGCUCAGUGGUAGAGCACAUGCUUAGCAUGCAUGAGGUCCUGAGUUCAAUCCCCAGUACCUCCA
RNAcentral lists this transfer RNA (72 nucleotides) under Camelus bactrianus (Bactrian camel). It matches the Rfam family "tRNA". From Rfam's summary of the family: Transfer RNA (tRNA) molecules are approximately 80 nucleotides in length. Their secondary structure includes four short double-helical elements and three loops (D, anti-codon, and T loops). Lineage: Eukaryota; Metazoa; Chordata; Mammalia; Artiodactyla; Camelidae. The record is from Rfam by way of RNAcentral. RNAcentral also lists the same sequence under 2 other names.